GAUUUGGAGACAUUUCUGACGUUUGAAUACCUCGAGUGAACUAAUGCGAGCCGAUGCAUGAGAGGGCAUUGUGAAAGCUGGUUUGCUGAACUUCAAAGUUCAAAAAUGCCUAACCAUGCAUGAACAAACAGUUUUCAUGUAGCUGCAGUUAUCCGUGAAGUUUGGUGGGGCAGAGGAAAAAUUUGAGGGGCAAUGCCCCCCUGCCCCCCCAAUAUCCAACCCUUCUAGUUGACUUAUUUCACCAUUAUUGGCAGGGUUGAUGUCAGGACUCUAACUGGGCCACUCCAGCACUUUUAUAAUGUUAUUCUUAAAGCGCUCCAGUGUAGCUUCUCCCUGUGGAUCCACGUCCGUCUGAAAGGGUCAUUUCAGACCGAAACCGGUUGUCACAUUUACAUCGUUGAGCAGACGCUCUCAUCCUGAGGAGCACACACACCUGCUCUGACCUCCAGCAGAAGAUGCAUUCUCCUGCUCCUCCCCAGGGACUCUGUACCGCUCCCCCCAGGGAUGCUGUUGGCUGACCCUUCUCACAUGUUUUGCAAGUAAAAACUCAAGACAAAUUACUGUCCAUGCAAAUGGGAAUAAGACUGUUUUUCAGGGAAGGGCUGGGGGUGGUGUAAUUUUACUGAGGUUAAGUGCAUGGUAUGGAAGCUCUUAGUUCAGGCACUCUCUGAAGAGACAGGUCUUCAGUUCAUAGUAGAAAAUGGUGAGUGGUUCUGCAGUUUUGGCAGGGGUAGGGAUGGUUGCGUGGUGGUUGGUUGAGUAUGGGUUGGAUCCCUGUGGGGUGGAGUAUGAGCUGGAUCCCUGUGGUGGGUGGAGUAUGGGCUGGAUCCCUGUGGCAGGUUGAGUAGGGGCUGGAUCCCUGUGGGGUGGAGUAUGGGCUGGAUCCCUGUGGGGGGUUGAGAAUGGGCUGGAUCCCUGUGGGAGGUUGAGUAUGGGCUGGAUCCCUGUGGGGGGUUGAGAAUGGGCUGGAUCCCUGUGGGAGGUUGAGUAUGGGCUGGAUCACUGUGGGGGGUUGAGUAUGGGUUGGAUCUCUGUGGAGGUUUGAGAAUGGGCUGGAUCCCUGUGGUGAGUUGAGUAUGGACUAGAUCCCUGUGGCUAGUUGAGUAUGGACUGGAUCCCUGUGGGGGUUGAAUAUGGGCUGUAUCCCUGUGGGGGGUUGAGUAUGAGUUGGAUCCCUGUGGGGGGUUGAGUAUGAGUUAGAUCCCUGUGGGGGGUUG
Anguilla rostrata (American eel) is the source of this 1217-nucleotide long non-coding RNA. RefSeq lists it as uncharacterized. The transcript is spliced from 3 exons. The record is from RefSeq and is a predicted model, not a curated record. NCBI's taxonomy places the organism in Eukaryota, Metazoa, Chordata, Actinopteri, Anguilliformes, Anguillidae.